Molecule: long non-coding RNA, 5296 nt
Organism: Triticum dicoccoides
Lineage: Eukaryota; Viridiplantae; Streptophyta; Magnoliopsida; Poales; Poaceae
Exons: 5
Source: RefSeq, a predicted model, not a curated record
ACGCCGCGUCAGUCAAACACCGGCCCUCUUUCUCCCAAUCCCCGCAGCCGUCGCGCCCGGCACACCUCCCUUCUCCACUCCCCCCCGCACCCCACCCUUCCCAGCCGAGCUUGUUCCUCUAGCCACCCACUCGUCUGCUCCUCCUCCUCCUCCUCUCUCUCUUCUAGCUUCCUCUUCCUUCCUGAUCUCUACGUCGGCCGGACCACGAGAGGAGCGGCGGUGGCGGAGACGCUCCGGUGGCGGCAUCGAGUUGCGAACCCCAGGAACCAGGUCUGGGGGUUCGGUUCCAAGGCGCGGACGGCUUCUCCGCCUAUGACACCGAGGGCAAGUGUACACCCCAGUGCCCUCCUCCUGCGCAAACCCUACGAGAGAGAGAGAGAGAGAGGAAGAUGAGAGGGAGGGAGAGAGAAUGACCGGCGUCAGCCUGCACCAGCAAGGACGGGCGCGACGUGGAGGUUGGCCGCUGCUCGAUCUGCUCUUGGAUCGGGAGCUUCGACGAAGCUGGGGUUCGGGCGCAUUGCACCGGAGGCUGCACUCCACCUCUUGCUUGUGGUGCGGUGGACAGCAACUCUUGCGGUCGUGCGGCUGACGGCGGCCUCAGCGGGUGGUCAACGACACUUGCAGCUGGUGCUCUACCCAUGGAUUCCGGCACAGCCCGAAAUACUCAGAUAUUUGACUGCAUUACUGAAUGUUCUAGGGUUGGAGCAGCAGCUGAGCUUAGGGCAAGACAAGCACAUUAGUUGAAUCCUGAACUUAUAGGAUGGUUUCCCCUGCCACAACCAUUGUCAUCGGCCUGCAUUCCCUUGUCAAGCGUGCAUCGGUGCUGGAUAUGCAAGCUGCAACAGUGCAUCAACGGGCAGGCAAGAGCAAGACGAUGGUCAUGAUUUUUGGUUUGAAGUUGCUUUUAUGAACUCCAAGCAGUGGAAGACAAUGUUAACUGAAGCCACUUUUGUUGGUCAUGGAUUUACAAGAAAGCCAGUAGAGUAUGAAAAGGUUCUCAUGGGACUCACCCUGAACUGAAAUCUAUCUUCAACCUUGGUAUAUCUCUAUAGAAAAACCCAAGUGGAAGCCACUUUUGUUGGUCAUGGAUUUACAAGAAAGCGAGUAGAGUAUGAAAAGGUUCUCAUGGGACUCACCCUGAACUGAAAUCUAUCUUCAACCUUGCUUAAACUGAAAGCAAUGCAUGGUAUUGUUCAAUUCGAAGUGUACUUGACGUUUGCAGAUCUGAGGAUGAAGGGAAGAAGACAGAAUUUAGCUGAAGAGUUGAAUAAGAUCAAGGUUAUUAUUCCACAACCAUUUGUUGCAUCCAUUAUGUGUUCACCCAAUCCAUCUCUCUCUCUCUCUGCUGGCUGCCACCACACGUGGACGGUAGUGGUUCAUUUUCGUAUAACAUUUGUCAUUUCUACAGUUUUAUCAUGUAUAGUUGGAUCCAGAAAAUGUAGAGAAGAAAUUUUUGAAAGAGAAAUAAAGUGCAUAGGUUACGCCACUUAAUUUUUCUUCAACUGUUUUUGGUAAAAUUGCUUACCUAGGCAUCAGUAUAUUUUGUGACAGGAAUCUGCACUAUAUUAUUAUGCUUUUAGCAAUACCAAUCUUAUUUUAUUUCUUUGUGGAAUUGCUUACCUAGGCAUAAAAAAUGUGAAAAAAUCUGCACUAUGUUCUUAUGCUUUCAGUAAUGAGCAUCUUGUUUAGAUUCUCGGGGUUUAGCCCUGCUGACUUCUGAAUAAUUAUUCAUUCAUGAGAUUCACUGUAGAAUUGCUUACCUAGGCAUAAAAACGUAAAGGUGAGAUUGGCUACAAUUUUGAUGUACUUUUGUAAUGUUUUCCUGUUUGUACAUACUUUAUUGGUUUGCUUGAAACUGCAUUUUCAUAUGUGCUUGUAGGCUCUACAGGAUCCAGUGAUGGAUCUGAGUGUCAGCACUCGAGUUAUAAGUUUCUUCUAGCAUGUUGACACACUAAUUAGAUUCAGGAAUUAUUUGGUACAUCUCAGCUUUGCGGCAUCAUGUGUAGAGGGUCAUGUUAAUAAAUAUAUCUGGCCUCCACUUAGAUGUUCUUUUCUUGUAAUUGAUAACUCAUACAAAUUCUGCAACAUAUUGUGCAUAGCAAUACACCUCUACUGAAAUACUACUUUCUUAUUCCCAUUUCCAUCCGACACCUGACUUUACAUCAUUUCUAAUCUCGUCUUUUCUCCUGAAUUUUAGUCUGCUUCAGUAAUGUUGUGGCAUGCCGCAAAACAACCACAUUUUUGCUACUGUGAUUUGGUCCAUCCUAUGCAUUUCAGUUCCUGGUGAUCUCCGACGUUUGUCAGCUAAUGCCACCAUGAGGGUGCUGGGCUGCUGAUGGCAUGCUACCUGCUUUGAAAAAAAGGAAUGAAAGGAAGCAUUUGUUCAUAGAACAAAUAUAUUCAUUGUCUGUUAAGAUAAAUAUCCCUAUCCUCUGUUUGUUUCUUGAUUAUUCUCUGUGAACUUUUGUUCUAUGUGCAGACAAGUUUCCUCCAUAUUAUGUCAACAUCCCAUGGUGAUGUAUGUGAAAGAUUGAAAGUGCGGUACUACAUAAAGACGCGCUGCAAAUAUUGUUGCAUAAUCACAACUUUCAUAACAUUAACUUCCAUUGUCUGUUAAUAAUUAAUUAUCUCGGGUAAAAUCUAUUUUUCUACCUGAUUGAUGUGGUUAGUUUGAUUUAUAGUAGAAUAUCAACAUUCUCCUUUAUGAUGGUUGAUGGGCAGUGUGUUUCGUCCAAGUGAUAUGUUUCCUGUAUUGUUAGAGAUGUCUAUUUGGCUUAUGAUCGUACUGUUGAGCACAUCUUACCCUUGUGCUGAAGAUAAAUGGUACUAAUCAAUCUGCCAAAGCUUUGUGAUGUGAAAGUGCAUUUGGUAGGAAGGGUUCUGCAGAUAACCCCUUUAGAUUCUGUCCCUUCAAGAUUUUUUUGUAUCAAGCCAUAAAUUUAAACAGGAAUCCUUCAGUGGCUAUUUUGUUUAUCCACACACUUUCUAAUGUCUGGUCCUCUUAAAUUAGGAUAAGCUUUUUACUGUCUUUGUUUUUUGAUUAUCAUCAACAAUACUGGUUCUGUUGUCCCUUAGGCUGUCAAUGCUGAUGCUAUUUCAAUGCUGAGAAGCAAACUCGGAAAUCAGCUCGCUAACAAGAGUCGGAAUUCGAAUCUGAGGCAACUUUCACAUUCCCCAAUUUGUCUAUUGAACCCAUGAUCUCUCUUUCUUUUGCAUUAUUUUCCAUUCAUUAUCUAAGAUAUAAUUUCGACUUCACUGCACCGUGUUGUCUGGUUUAUAAUGCCGGUUGAGCUCAUUUCUAAUUGUUCAUAACUACUUAAUUUUUUUGUUGUGAUUUUGCAAGAUAUUGAAAUUAUUGUAUUUCAAAAUUGUUUUACUGAUUCUCGAUGCUCUGUUCACGGCUUUUUUCUUAUUUUAUCCUUCUUUGCUUUUUUCCUUUCCUGCAAGAAGAUGUCGAGUCAUGUAAUAUGUUCAAAGAAGAGAGAAUCUGCAUUUUAUGAAUCCUUUCUUCUUUCUUCAUUGUUACUUCAAGUUAGUGAAUUCAUUUAAGUUGUAUUGAUCAGCUUCAUGUGCAUGGUUUCUUCAUCUACACAUCUUAUUCAGUCACGAGGCGAGUAAGAUCUUUUGCCUUUUAGAAAAAGGGAGAUGCCAUUUAGACCUUACUCUUCCAACUUGAUCUUUAACUUGCUACUACUGUUUCUGAGCAUUUUCCCAAGCAUUUUUUAUUUGCUUCAGAGAAUGAGCUCACCUCAUUCAGUGGAUGUGCCAAGUAAAAAAUUUAGAAACUGAGCAAUUAGUUCCACUCUUGAAUUUUGUACAGCGGUCCAAAUUAUCCAAUAAAUCAUUUGUUAGCAGGGUCAAAUUAUAGAAGUUGAAUCAGUUGUUCCAAAUUACAAUGUGUGACUUAUUCCAUUUGUUUAUCCUUUUGUCCUUUUAAUCAAGAACACUAUUUAGAGCUUACAUGGUUGUCCAAAUUUAGUUCUGUAAAAGAGGAAUAUUGAUAUCAUGCAAUGAUCAGUGCAGAUUAGAAUAGUUAUAGAGUUAUUCCUCAGUUUUCAUUGAGCAAAGAUUGAAUCUGUAUGAUUUUUUCUAAUACCAAGUAAAUCUUGGUCUGCAUUUUGUUAGUUUUCCUACUGAGUUUUUUUGGCUAUUUUCGUUUAAAUUGGUAGUUGAUGUGAAAAAGUGUGUGUUGACAUGGAUGUAACCAAAUCAUGUAUUAAUGUGAGGUACUACAUAGACUUGCCUAUCUCUUUCCAUAAGCACAACCCUCUUGAUCCAACUAGGAACAUCAAAACCAAAUGGGAAAUCAUUGAGUGGACUUCAGAUGGCCAUGCUGUGAGUACACCAUUAGUAUCUGAAUCUACUUUGUAUAAUUAAGACACACUUUCUACAUAUCGCUGCUAUAUUGAUACCAUGCGAUCACUUAACAUGAGUGUGACUAGCCUAUUUUCUUGCCUAACUGUGUGAUUGCAUGUAGUAAUGCAUGGCUUCUCUAUUUAAAUGAAGAGUUGUGUUUAUCAUAAUAAUUAUGUACCACAGACUUGUUUCUUUCUGUUUAUAUAAUAAUGCAGUUCGUCUUCUACCAUAUGUUUUCUUUGUUACAUGUCUUCUAAUUGUUCAUCUUUUUUUCUCUUUCGACGACAAAAUAACUUCGCGUUUCGAAAUAUUUAGUACGCCAUCAUGGUCUUUCUUAAGGGUGUUCAGGCCUUUUGGUCUUCUAUUCAUGCUGCGAACCCCAAUAUGGCAUCUCGCCGUUCCCCAUGAUCCACAUGGUAAGUAUGGAUUUAUUUACUGAUAAUAUGAUAUCAACUGCCUUUUCUUCAGGAUAAUCUGACACCUAAUAAGGACUAAGAGAACAACAGAGAUGCUAAGAGGGAACCUUUUGGGUUUAAGGAUAUAAACAACAUGGCUUACGAGGAUUUGAACUGCUGUUCUUUUAGUUCCACUCUUAAAUGUUUUGGUUCUUGAAGGCCUGCACUUUCCUGUUGGAGUAGGAGCAAAAUAAUUCAGAGGCUUUAAACCUGCUGCACUUUAGUAGUUAGGAUCAAUCCUUUGUUUUGGUUUGAAAUGCUCCUCAAUUCCUCCUAUUUGAUUGAUUCAUCUAAUGGUCAUUUGCCAGGCAAAUAAAUAGAAGGCAUAUGUAUUGUUUUGAGUGAAGCCAUCCAUAUCCCAUAUGUGGAAUUCAAGAUAUAGAGAAAUGUUAUUGUUCUUCUGCUAAUUGGUUGCUUGACCAAAUGUACUAUAAAUGAUGUUAUUAUUGUACCAGAUAUAGAGAAAUGUUAUUGUUCUUCAAUUA